This is a long non-coding RNA of Brassica rapa (field mustard), 4091 nucleotides long. RefSeq lists it as uncharacterized. NCBI's taxonomy places the organism in Eukaryota, Viridiplantae, Streptophyta, Magnoliopsida, Brassicales, Brassicaceae. The record is from RefSeq and is a predicted model, not a curated record.
GUGGCAAAUACAUAAGGUUUAAACAAUUAAUUAAUUAUAACAUGUAAAUUAUAAAACUAUUGUAUUUGAAAUAGUUAUAUAAAUAUUUAAGUAUAUGAUUAACAUUAAAAAUAUAUACCACUUAUGUUCUAAAACAAUAAUUUAUGUAUAGAAAAGUGAAAACAAACACCCGUGCGGUUGUCCGGGUCAAAAUCUAGUUUUUGUUUUAAAAGUGGAGUAGUUAAAUAGAUGUGUGUUAGUUUAUUUUGGAUUCAUACUAGUGUAUCUAUUUUCUAUAUUUAUUUUGCUAGUUCCACUACAAAAAAAGUCUACAUUGAUAGCACAUUGUUAUAGCACGUUUUACUGAACUGCUGUCGUAGAUGAUUUAAAUAUUUCUGUAUUAUAUUAUAGCAUUAGAUAAACGCUAUGGUAGAGUAAAACCUAAAAUAGCACUUAAUUAAUGUUAUUUUAAAAAUUAAGUGAGCGAGAAUAUAAAGUCACAGAUACCGCCAACACUUAGUGAAAAUUAGAUUUAAGCGCCAAAGAUAUUUUUAAGCGGCUUCAACAAUGCUAUCAAAGACAUAUAAUAGCAUUUUUAUAACGCUAAGAAAAGCUCUUUGAACCCCUAAACUCUAAACAUAGUUUUAAACUCUAAACAUUGUUUUAAACCCUAAACUUUAAAGACAACCUUUAAACCUCUAAUUUUUUCAUACUAUAACUUCAAAUCUUAAAAUUAAAAUCAAAAUUUAAUCUUUUUAAUCUUAAUCUAUAAUUUCCUAAACACAUAUCUUUAAUCUUUAAUCAAACUCUAUAUCUUAAAUCUAAACUUCAAAUGUAAACUAAACAUUCAAUACUCUAAAUAUAAACUUCAAAUCUAAAUUAUUAAAUAUUUAACUACAAAUCGUCUAGUAUUCAAAUCUAUUAUUUUCGAAUCUUAAUCCAAAACACUAAAUUUUAACCCUAAACCUCAUAUUCCAACAUCAACACCUUAAAUCAUAAAACUAAAUUUACUCUUAAUCAUUUUUUUUUUGUAAAUCAUAAAAUAUAAAUUUAAAACUUUUCAAAUUUUGAAUCAAACAUACAAAUUUAUAAACGGAUUAUAAAUCAGAUUUUUUAUAAACAUGCAAAUUUAAAAAUGAUGACCAAAAUCAUAAUGAUGAUAUUAAUCUAAUAUUUUCAAACUUAAACAUCAAUUCAUAAAAUAAAUAUCAGUUUAUUAGGUUCAAAAAAUAAAAAAAUUAGACUUAAAUUAUAAACUACAGAAUAUUAAUUUUGAAAUAAGAUAUAACUAAUAAAAAUCACUUACAAAACAAAUUAUCAAAUAUGGAAAGACAAAACAAAAAUAAAAAUAAAAAAACAAAAACAAAAUUGUCUGGGCAAUCAGAUUAAAGUACAUGGAUCACACUUUUGAACCGUUAGAUUAACUUAGAUCUGAAGGUUAAGAUUUAUUCCUUUAAUUUUUAUUUUUAUUUUCUCCUCUCCCUCUCUCUCUCUCUCACUCUCAACUCCACGGAUCUGGUCUUCAUGUUCUUCUCCUUCAUUCUCAUCUCUCCCAUCCCUCUCCAAGCUUACUGUUUCUCUCAUCUCUCCUAUCUCUCUCCACGCCUCUCUCAUCUCUCCCAUCUCUCUCCCACCGCGUCUCCUCCUCGUCUCACCACCACCAGGGUCGCCCUCUCACCACCACCACCACGGUCGCCCUCCCACCACCACCACGGUCGCACUCCCACCACCACCACGAUAGUUGGGGAGGCAAGGUUCAUGGUGGCUGGAGGAGGCAAGGUCCAUGGCGGCUUGAGGACGGAAGUCUCGUGGCGGCUGGAGGAGGCAAGGCUCAUGGCUGUUGGAAGAGGGGCAAGGUUAUGGAGGAGGCGGCUGCAGUCUUUUUUUUUUUUUUUUAGGUUAAGAUUUGGUUUAGUGUAACCGGGUUAGAAAAAUUGUAGUGGUCUGAGUUUGCUGUUAUAAUUUCUGGUUAGUUUUGUAAACCAGGAUUAAUUUGUAAACCAAUUUUAAUAUAUAAAUAAAAUUUAUUUUAAUUUCAUUAUAAAACAAUUUUCGGUUUAAUAUUAAUUAUUUUAUUUCGAAUUAUAAUUAAUUUUAGUUUAUUGCAGAAAGAUCUAUCAUAGCACGAAAAUAUAAAUCGUAACCAAUUUAUAACAAAAAAAUAAUGUUAUGUUUAAGUUAAUAAUAUCAUUCAAAUAUUGCUAUCGUAUCUGCACAAUUCAUAGCAUUUAAAAAAAUGUUAUCGUAGAGGGGGUACCUAUGAUGGCUGCCGAUGACAUAGCAUUUCAAGUUUCGCUAUAAAAGCCCUACCAUAGCGUUUAUCGUGUGCUAAGAAUGCGCAUAUUUCUUGUAGUGUUCUUAUUGGUUAGAAUUAUUUGCCUAGAAAGUUUAUAAUACAAUCCAGCGACAAAAAAAGUUGGGUAGGUUAGAUGGUUAAGGAAAUUGAAUGUAUUUGUUUUAAACAAAAGUUAUGUAAAAAAAAUUCUAAUUGUUAGGGUGUUAAAUGGGUCUGACCAGACUAAUGAGCCUUAACAAAUUUGGUCCGCUGAAACCCUAGGUUUGUUUCAUGACUAACCAUCAUUAUCUGUAUCUCUUUUUUUUGGGCCAACCAAUAUGUGCAUCUCUUUUUCUUUUGAAUUUCUUUUUGUAACAUUUUGGCAUCUCAUUGUGUGUGCAAUGAUAAGAUAUGAAGAUUUACAUUGAUGACAAACAAAAACGGCAUCCUCUCUGGCAAGAUCUCAGAUCCAUUUAUCCAAGACGUAUUUAAAUUUGUCUCAUUCAUUUUGGCAUCCUGUUCGAUAUUAAGAAUUUAAUAGAUAGGUCUUUAUUAUAUCAGUCAAGCACACAUGGGAAAAUCAUUUACAAAACUGACGUUGAUUAUGAAGGUAGUUGGGGUAACUGGUAAUCAGAAGAAAGAACACAUGAGCAAGAUGAAUCUAUUUUUGUGAACAAAGUUUGACUGGAAUAGUUUGAGUGCAAAGUGCUCCAAGUAGUUUUAGAAAUCCCCUUUCGUGAUAAUUAUUGAUUAUAUGAAUUUUCCAACUUUUUUUUGCUAAACAUACUGAAAUUUGUAACUUCUACAGGAAAACUAUAGUAUCGAAAAGUGUGUUGGGGCCCUUUGCCUCGAACGAAUUAUGAAAAAUCUCUGAUUGGUAAUUAUCGAGUGACUGCAAGGGACUUGUAAAUUUUAUAGAACGGUUCAACAUCAGGCUAUAAGAGGUUUUCUUAUAGCCAGCAUAUAUUCUAAGAGCAAACCCACUUAAGGGUUUCUAAAAUUUUUUAAUUCUUCUUUAUUUUUUUUCUGUCUGAUUAAAAAAAAGAAAAUUAAAAAGCGCACCAAUCGCGGACCGUCACGUGUCGGUGGGAUCCGCGAACAGUGCAAAAAAACCACCACAAGGGGUCCUUUUUUUCUUUGUGCAACCUUUCAUUUCAUUAACUUAAACUUCAAACAUACAAUAGAUAGAGGGAAUUAUCCAUCCUCUUUGAUUACAACAACACUACAAGAAAACAAAGAGAUUCUGAUGGCCAAAAUCGUCGGAAGUUCGUCGGAAAAGGCCUAUUCCGACGCAUUUCUGACGAAGGCGUUCGUCGGUAUCAUUUCGUCGGAAAAAAAGAAUUCGUCGGAAUUUCGUCAGAAUUUCCGACGACUUUCUGACGAAUACCGAGAAAUAACAUUCUGACGAACUUCCGACAAUAUUCCGAUGCGGACACACGAGACUAGAGUUCAUCGGAAAAACUAUAUACCGACGGAGACGGAUCCUCCGAAGAUUCCGACGAACUAAGUUCUCGGUAAAUACCGACGGAGUCUGAUUCGUCGGUAAAUACCGACGGAAUAUGACUCGUCGGUAAAUACCGACGGAUUACGAUUCGUCGGUAAAUUCCGACGACUCACCAUUCGUCGGUAUGUUCCGACGAAUCAUAGUCCGUCGGUAUUUACCGACGAGUCAUACUCCGUCGGUAUUUACCGAGAACUUAGUUCGUCGGAAAAUGUCAAUUUUAAUAAUACGAAUUAAUUUUGCAUUUUUAUAUAUAUUUUUUAUAUGAAAAAUUAAUUAAUAAAUAAAUAAAAUCUGAAAUUUAAAACUAAUAAUAUUAUAGAAUUUAAAUUCAUA